UUAAAUCCCUCAAUCGAUUGCUUAAAAGCCCAAAACAUACGGUCAAAUACACGAUACAUCGGAUUUAAUCGCUCAUUUAUCCAAUGUGGAUUAUCUUCAAUCAUGUAUACUGUUUCUGGGUUAAAAUGAUGAAGAGCAGUCAUGAAUCUACGCAAACGACUAUAUGAUUCAUCCCAACCCCCAUAAAGCCUUGCAAUUGCCUUCUGCUUAGCUUUCCAUGUUUUCUGAUA
RNAcentral lists this long non-coding RNA (230 nucleotides) under Manihot esculenta (cassava). RNAcentral describes it as "long non-coding RNA (MESC_LNC001119)". Lineage: Eukaryota; Viridiplantae; Streptophyta; Magnoliopsida; Malpighiales; Euphorbiaceae. The record is from RNAcentral.